CCUCAGCCCCAUCCUGACCCUGCUGCCCCUGGGGGACGACACCAAGAACCGAAUCAUCCGGACCCAGGGGGUUCUGCUGCUGCUCUGUGUGGGGGGACCCGGACUCCUUCCUGCUCUUCAGGAAGCGUUGGGCCAACGAGCAGCUGGAGCAGAGCAAGAAAAGGGAAAGUGAGGAGGAGAGGAUCUACGAGGGUCUGGACCUGGCAGAGUGCUCCAUGUACG
This is a long non-coding RNA of Calypte anna (Anna's hummingbird), 222 nucleotides long. RefSeq lists it as uncharacterized. The record is from RefSeq and is a predicted model, not a curated record. The transcript is spliced from 3 exons. NCBI's taxonomy places the organism in Eukaryota, Metazoa, Chordata, Aves, Apodiformes, Trochilidae.